RNAcentral lists this ribosomal RNA (1376 nucleotides) under metagenome. RNAcentral describes it as "bacterial SSU rRNA". It matches the Rfam family "Bacterial small subunit ribosomal RNA", at positions 9 to 1360 of the family's 1533-position model. The record is from RNAcentral.
GGGUUUGAUCCUGGCUCAGGAUGAACGCUAGCGGCGUGCUUGACCCAUGCAAGUCGAACGGAUCCGCAACGUGUGGAGGCUCUGGAGUGCCUGGAAGAUGAGAAAUCGUUGGAAGGGGAUGAAGGGGCGGAAGCACAGCGGGGGUCAGUGGCGAACGGGUGAGUAACACGUAGGCAACCUGCCCUAGAAGUGGGGAAUAACAGCUCGAAAGGGCUGCUAAUACCGCAUGUGCUCGGGGGACCGAGGAAAGGGUCGCAAGACUCGCUUUAGGAGGGGCCUGCGGCCGAUUAGCUAGUUGGUGAGGUAACGGCUCACCAAGGCGAUGAUCGGUAGCUGGUCUGAGAGGACGAUCAGCCACACUGGAACUGGGACACGGUCCAGACUCCUACGGGAGGCAGCAGGGAGGAAUAUUGUGCAAUGGGGGAAACCCUGACACAGCGACGCCGCGUGAGUGAAGAAGGCCUUCGGGUCGUAAAGCUCUUUUCCAGGGGAUGAGGAAGGACAGUACCCUGGGAAUAAGUCUCGGCUAACUACGUGCCAGCAGCCGCGGUAAAACGUAGGAGGCGAGCGUUAUCCGGAAUCACUGGGCGUAAAGGGCAAGUAGGCGGUCGGUUAAGUCAGGCGUGACAGUUCCCGGCUCAACUGGGAAAGGUCGCCUGAGACUGGCGGACUAGAGGGCAGGAGAGGGAAGUGGAAUUCCUAGUGUAGCGGUGGAAUGCUCAGAUAUUAGGAAGAACACCAGUGGCGAAGGCGGCUUUCUGGCCUGCACCUGACGCUGAAGAGCGAAAGCUAGGGGAGCGAACGGGCUUAGAUACCCCGGUAGUCCUAGCUGUAAACUUUGGAUACUGGGUAAUGGGGGGCAACACCCUCAGUGCCGAAGCAAACGCGUUAAGUAUCCCGCCUGGGGACUACGGCCGCAAGGUUAAAACUCAAAGGAAUUGACGGGGGCCCGCACAAGCAGCGGAGCGUGUGGUUUAAUUCGAUAUAACACGAAGAACCUUACCUGGGUUUGACAUGUAUGUAGUAGGGGAGCGAAAGCCGACCGACCCUUCGGGGAGCAUACACAGGUGCUGCAUGGCUGUCGUCAGCUCGUGCCGUGAGGUGUUGGGUUAAGUCCCACAACGAGCGCAACCCCUGUUGCCAGUUAAAGAUUUCUGGCGAGACUGCUGGCGUAUAACCAGAGGAAGGUGGGGAUGACGUCAAGUCAGCAUGGCCUUUAUAUCCAGGGCUACACACACGCUACAAUGGUCGGUACAGAGGGGCGCGAAGCCGCGAGGUGGAGCAAAUCUCACAAAGCCGAUCUCAGUUCAGAUUGCAGGCUGCAACCCGCCUGCAUGAAGUCGGAGUUGCUAGUAACCGCAGGUCAGCUAUACUGC